UCGCCCUUAGAGUUUGAUCCUGGCUCAGGAUGAACGCUAGCUACAGGCUUAACACAUGCAAGUCGAGGGGAAACGACAUCGAAAGCUUGCUUUUGAUGGGCGUCGACCGGCGCACGGGUGAGUAACGCGUAUCCAACCUGCCCACCACUUGGGGAUAACCUUGCGAAAGUAAGACUAAUACCCAAUGACGUCUCUAGAAGACAUCUGAAAGAGAUUAAAGAUUUAUCGGUGAUGGAUGGGGAUGCGUCUGAUUAGCUUGUUGGCGGGGUAGCGGCCCACCAAGGCGACGAUCAGUAGGGGUUCUGAGAGGAAGGUCCCCCACAUUGGAACUGAGACACGGUCCAAACUCCUACGGGAGGCAGCAGUGAGGAAUAUUGGUCAAUGGGCGAGAGCCUGAACCAGCCAAGUAGCGUGCAGGAUGACGGCCCUAUGGGUUGUAAACUGCUUUUAUAAGGGAAUAAAGUGAGUCUCGUGAGACUUUUUGCAUGUACCUUAUGAAUAAGGACCGGCUAAUUCCGUGCCAGCAGCCGCGGUAAUACGGAAGGUCCGGGCGUUAUCCGGAUUUAUUGGGUUUAAAGGGAGCGUAGGCCGGAGAUUAAGCGUGUUGUGAAAUGUAGACGCUCAACGUCUGCACUGCAGCGCGAACUGGUUUCCUUGAGUACGCACAAAGUGGGCGGAAUUCGUGGUGUAGCGGUGAAAUGCUUAGAUAUCACGAAGAACUCCGAUUGCGAAGGCAGCUCACUGGAGCGCAACUGACGCUGAAGCUCGAAAGUGCGGGUAUCGAACAGGAUUAGAUACCCUGGUAGUCCGCACGGUAAACGAUGGAUGCCCGCUGUUGGUCUGAAUAGGUCAGCGGCCAAGCGAAAGCAUUAAGCAUCCCACCUGGGGAGUACGCCGGCAACGGUGAAACUCAAAGGAAUUGACGG
RNAcentral lists this ribosomal RNA (926 nucleotides) under uncultured bacterium. RNAcentral describes it as "bacterial SSU rRNA". It matches the Rfam family "Bacterial small subunit ribosomal RNA", at positions 1 to 916 of the family's 1533-position model. The record is from RNAcentral.